GCCCUGUCCAGGAUCUCCCACCACAGCAUUGCACAGAUCAAAGGGAUCAGGCCCUUUCCUUCAGAGGACACUGCUCUAAAUGAGGAUGAUGUGUACCGGAGUCUUGAGGAGCUAGCAGAUGAGCAUGACGUGGGGGAGGAUGACAUCUACGACUGUGUUCCCUGUGAGGACGAUGGAGAUGACUUCUACGAGGA
Salvelinus namaycush (lake trout) is the source of this 194-nucleotide long non-coding RNA. RefSeq lists it as uncharacterized. The record is from RefSeq and is a predicted model, not a curated record. The transcript is spliced from 3 exons. NCBI's taxonomy places the organism in Eukaryota, Metazoa, Chordata, Actinopteri, Salmoniformes, Salmonidae.